RNAcentral lists this unclassified non-coding RNA (336 nucleotides) under soil metagenome. Its description in RNAcentral is "partial contains 5.8S ribosomal RNA, internal transcribed spacer 2, and large subunit ribosomal RNA". The stretch from base 1 to 120 matches the Rfam family "5.8S ribosomal RNA", at positions 35 to 154 of the family's 154-position model. The record is from RNAcentral.
GAUGAAGAACGUAGCGAAAUGCGAUAAGUAGUGUGAAUUGCAGAAUUCAGUGAAUCAUCGAAUCUUUGAACGCACAUUGCGCCCCUUGGUAUUCCAUGGGGCAUGCCUGUUCGAGCGUCAUUUGUACUUUCAAGCUUUGCUUGGUGUUGGGUGUUUGUCUCGCCUUUGCGUGUAGACUCGCCUUAAAAUAAUUGGCAGCCGGCGUAUUGAUUUCGGAGCGCAGUACAUCUCGCGCUUUGCACUCAUAACGACAGCGUCCAAAAGUACAUUUUACACUCUUGACCUCGGAUCAGGUAGGGAUACCCGCUGAACUUAAGCAUAUCAAUAAGCGGAGGA